CCUACGGGGGGCAGCAGUGGGGAAUAUUGCACAAUGGGCGCAAGCCUGAUGCAGCCAUGCCGCGUGUGUGAAGAAGGCCUUCGGGUUGUAAAGCACUUUCAGCGGGGAGGAAGGCGGUGAGGUUAAUAACCUCAUCGAUUGACGUUACCCGCAGAAGAAGCACCGGCUAACUCCGUGCCAGCAGCCGCGGUAAUACGGAGGGUGCAAGCGUUAAUCGGAAUUACUGGGCGUAAAGCGCACGCAGGCGGUCUGUCAAGUCGGAUGUGAAAUCCCCGGGCUCAACCUGGGAACUGCAUUCGAAACUGGCAGGCUAGAGUCUUGUAGAGGGGGGUAGAAUUCCAGGGGUAGCGGUGAAAUGCGUAGAGAUCUGGAGGAAUACCGGUGGCGAAGGCGGCCCCCUGGACAAAGACUGACGCUCAGGUGCGAAAGCGUGGGGAGCAAACAGGAUUAGAUACCCCUGUAGUC
This 465-nucleotide ribosomal RNA is filed under the name uncultured Klebsiella sp. RNAcentral describes it as "bacterial SSU rRNA". It matches the Rfam family "Bacterial small subunit ribosomal RNA", at positions 338 to 795 of the family's 1533-position model. The record is from RNAcentral. Lineage: Bacteria; Pseudomonadati; Pseudomonadota; Gammaproteobacteria; Enterobacterales; Enterobacteriaceae.